GAGUUUGAUCUUGGCUCAGGACGAACGCUGGCGGCGUGCUUAACACAUGCAAGUCACGGGGGCCCGCAAGGGCAACCGGCGAACGGGUGUCGUAACACGUGAGCAAUCUGCCGAUUUCUGGGGGAUAGCCGGCCCAACGGCCGGGGUAAUACCGCAUACGCUCAUUUGGGGGAGUCCCCGAGUGAGGAAACCUCCGGGGGAAAUCGAGGAGCUCGCGGCCUAUCAGCUAGGUUGGCGGGGUAACGGCCCACCAAGGCUCUGACGGGUAGCUGGUCUGAGAGGAUGGCCAGCCACAUUGGGACUGAGAGACGGCCCAGACUCCUACGGGAGGCAGCAGUGGGGAAUCUUGCGCAAUGGCCGAAAGGCUGACGCAGCGACGCCGCGUGUGGGA
This 391-nucleotide ribosomal RNA is filed under the name uncultured Gemmatimonadota bacterium. RNAcentral's name for it is "bacterial SSU rRNA". It matches the Rfam family "Bacterial small subunit ribosomal RNA", at positions 9 to 408 of the family's 1533-position model. The record is from RNAcentral. Lineage: Bacteria; Pseudomonadati; Gemmatimonadota.